UGCAGUCGAGCGGACAGAUGGGAGCUUGCUCCCUGAUGUUAGCGGCGGACGGGUGAGUAACACGUGGGUAACCUGCCUGUAAGACUGGGAUAACUCCGGGAAACCGGGGCUAAUACCGGAUGGUUGUUUGAACCGCAUGGUUCAGACAUAAAAGGUGGCUUCGGCUACCACUUACAGAUGGACCCGCGGCGCAUUAGCUAGUUGGUGAGGUAACGGCUCACCAAGGCAACGAUGCGUAGCCGACCUGAGAGGGUGAUCGGCCACACUGGGACUGAGACACGGCCCAGACUCCUACGGGAGGCAGCAGUAGGGAAUCUUCCGCAAUGGACGAAAGUCUGACGGAGCAACGCCGCGUGAGUGAUGAAGGUUUUCGGAUCGUAAAGCUCUGUUGUUAGGGAAGAACAAGUGCCGUUCAAAUAGGGCGGCACCUUGACGGUACCUAACCAGAAAGCCACGGCUAACUACGUGCCAGCAGCCGCGGUAAUACGUAGGUGGCAAGCGUUGUCCGGAAUUAUUGGGCGUAAAGGGCUCGCAGGCGGUUUCUUAAGUCUGAUGUGAAAGCCCCCGGCUCAACCGGGGAGGGUCAUUGGAAACUGGGGAACUUGAGUGCAGAAGAGGAGAGUGGAAUUCCACGUGUAGCGGUGAAAUGCGUAGAGAUGUGGAGGAACACCAGUGGCGAAGGCGACUCUCUGGUCUGUAACUGACGCUGAGGAGCGAAAGCGUGGGGAGCGAACAGGAUUAGAUACCCUGGUAGUCCACGCCGUAAACGAUGAGUGCUAAGUGUUAGGGGGUUUCCGCCCCUUAGUGCUGCAGCUAACGCAUUAAGCACUCCGCCUGGGGAGUACGGUCGCAAGACUGAAACUCAAAGGAAUUGACGGGGGCCCGCACAAGCGGUGGAGCAUGUGGUUUAAUUCUGAAGCAACGCGAAGAACCUUACCAGGUCUUGACAUCCUCUGACAAUCCUAGAGAUAGGACGUCCCCUUCGGGGGCAGAGUGACAGGUGGUGCAUGGUUGUCGUCAGCUCGUGUCGUGAGAUGUUGGGUUAAGUCCCGCAACGAGCGCAACCCUUGAUCUUAGUUGCCAGCAUUCAGUUGGGCACUCUAAGGUGACUGCCGGUGACAAACCGGAGGAAGGUGGGGAUGACGUCAAAUCAUCAUGCCCCUUAUGACCUGGGCUACACACGUGCUACAAUGGACAGAACAAAGGGCAGCGAAACCGCGAGGUUAAGCCAAUCCCACAAAUCUGUUCUCAGUUCGGAUCGCAGUCUGCAACUCGACUGCGUGAAGCUGGAAUCGCUAGUAAUCGCGGAUCAGCAUGCCGCGGUGAAUACGUUCCCGGGCCUUGUACACACCGCCCGUCACACCACGAGAGUUUGUAACACCCGAAGUCGGUGAAG
RNAcentral lists this ribosomal RNA (1396 nucleotides) under Bacillus subtilis. Its description in RNAcentral is "bacterial SSU rRNA". It matches the Rfam family "Bacterial small subunit ribosomal RNA". Lineage: Bacteria; Bacillati; Bacillota; Bacilli; Caryophanales; Bacillaceae. The record is from RNAcentral.